AGAGUCCGACACGACUGAGCGACUUCACACACACACAAUCUUUAUAAUCUUUUUAAAAAAAUCUUCAGAUGUCAUCGUAUCUAAAAUCAGAGACCCAGGUUUUAAAAACAUAGUUGUUUGGAGUAUUGCUUGAAUCUGAUUAUAUAAUCCUUUGUGAUGAGGCUGAGUUAUAAGCUAUUACUUGAUAAACUGGAAAUAUUGCCUUGUUGUUUUCUUCGCUGGUCUCAGUUUUACUCAUGCAAAGACUUCUGAACAUCAAAGGAUUUGAAUUAUAAGGUUUAUGAUAAGCACAGGGACAUUAAAAUUAUAAAUUACAGGAGGUAGUCAAGAUAGAGUAGAAAAAAGAAUUGGGUCCUAAAAGUCGUAUAUGGGCCUCUCAUUUUAUGUAAGCUUCUUGUUAUCCAGAGUAUGAAAAGAAAACUCCACCAGUUAUUUGCAAUGCCUGUUGUUUAUGUAACAUUUUAUUGCUAAAUAUUAGCCAUUCUCUUUUCUUUAAAAAUUAUCCUACAUUUUUAAUUGAGAAUUUUAAGUAUGCUGUAAAUAUAAUUUUUUAUAUUUUUCUUCUAAGUUUCACAUAUGCAUAUAUACUUUUAUGCAGAAUCUCAGUUUUCUAAGAUACUUUAUGACCCAGAAAGUCUUGGAAACUUGGGCAUUUGAGCAGAAGAAAGGGCAGAGCUGGACUUUCCUAGUAGUCCAGUGGUUAAGACUCCGAGCUUCCAGUGCCUCCACUUAAGGCCAAGUGAGUUCAGUCCCUGAUUGCGGAACUAAGAUCCUACAUGCCUUGCUUGGCAUGGCCAGAAAAACAAACAAAAAAGAAGAUAGGGCAAGGCUGAUAGGGAAGUAUGUGACUAAACCUCUGAAGAAAGAUAAUAGUCAAUAAUGGCAAGGAAAUAAUGAGUAAAUGGGAAGGUAAAUGAAGAAGAGGAGGCAGAAAAAAAUUUAUUUGAUAACAGUGUUAUUUUUGGGGUGUGUGUGUAUGUGUAUGCAUAAAAGUUCCCACCAGACCGUCUCUGGGAGUGGAAGGGAGUUGGUAGCGGCAGCUGAGGCAGCGAGGAGGUUCCAGAAGCUCUCGGAUUCUCGCGGCAGAGUUAGGGAUUUAACUGCCACCAUGUCUAGCAAAAGAGCAAAGACCAAGACCACCAAGAAGCGCCCCCAGCGCGCGACCUCCAAUGUGUUCGCCAUGUUUGACCAGUCCCAGAUUCAGGAGUUUAAGGAGGCCUUCAACAUGAUCGACCAGAACAGGGACGGGUUCAUCGACAAGGAAGACUUGCAUGACAUGCUUGCUUCCCUGGGAAAAAAUCCAACUGAUGAGUAUCUGGAUGCCAUGAUGAAUGAGGCUCCAGGUCCCAUAAAUUUUACCAUGUUUCUCACGAUGUUUGGUGAAAAGUUAAAUGGCACAGAUCCAGAAGAUGUCAUCAGAAAUGCUUUUGCUUGCUUUGAUGAAGAAGCAACUGGAUAG
Odocoileus virginianus texanus is the source of this 1459-nucleotide non-coding RNA. The record is from RefSeq and is a predicted model, not a curated record. NCBI's taxonomy places the organism in Eukaryota, Metazoa, Chordata, Mammalia, Artiodactyla, Cervidae.